GGAAGGGAGUGUGCGGGCGUGGAGGGAGGGACAACUGUUGCUCGCUGGAUAUGGGCGUGAGGGGGCGCCGCUGGUGUUCUAAGAGUCGCCACAUGGGAGAAUGAAGGCUGGUCCCAUGCAAGUCUGGUGUGGUGGUCACCUUGAGGAGCUGCGGCCGCCCAAACACUGCGUGGUGGUGGUGUUGGUGGUGGUAUGAGUGGUAGUGAUAGUGGAGACAUGGGGAGUGAGUAGUGGUAGACAGAAACAUCCACUAUACCUCCUAAAACACUCCCUCCUAGUCCCCCCCCCUUCCUCCUUCCCUCCUCCGUAUGCCACCUGCAGCCUUCACCCUUCCAUCCCCCCCCACCCCAACCACAACCACCACACGUACUCCCCCUUACUUCCCCCCCAUUCCUCCCUCUCCUCCCUGCCUCCCCAGCUCAACAGUUAGAGGUCUUCUGCUCCACACCCUCACCCUCACCUUCACCUUAGGCCUUGGUAACUGGAAUGUCAGACGCGAAAAUGAAAGGCAAAAAAUAGUAAGUGACUGACCCUUGCCAACUUCAUCCCCGCGAGCCGCCGCCGCCGCCGCCACCACCACCACCACCACCGUCAUGCUGUUCUGUUUGUCUCCCGAAGCAGGAAACUUUAUGAAACUCAGUAAAAACGCCACCACUGCAUCGCUCACUGCUGUUCCCUGCUCACUGCCUCGCCUCUAUCGUUCCCCAGCGGAGCCAGCCACGCACGAUAAAGUCGGCGGUCCAGUGUGUAGGAAGAGUGAAAAACGACCUUAUUACCUUGACACGAAGUCCAUACGUGUGUUCGUCGGGCUAAGAAAACGACACGAGACUUGUUGUGUAAGGAAAAUGAAAAAAAAAGAUAAAAAAAAUAAAACAGCAAGAAAUGAAUGGACAAGUUAUUUUCUUCUACAAAAGUGUAAAGCAAUGAAGAUAAAGAAUAAUAAAGUAAGCAUGGCAAAAUGUGAUAAAGGAGGAAUGAAGACCAAACAGGAAAGGAGAGCUGUACAUGUUACCAAAGUGAGAGAAUACAAAGAGAAAAGUGUGAUAAAGUAAGCAAUGAGGAUAAAGAAUGAUAAAAGUAAGAAGCAUGGCAAAGUGUGAUAAAGCAGGAAUGAAGAACAAACACGAGAGAAAAAAAAAAAAAAAACUGUCCACG
This is a long non-coding RNA of Portunus trituberculatus (swimming crab), 1155 nucleotides long. RefSeq lists it as uncharacterized. Lineage: Eukaryota; Metazoa; Arthropoda; Malacostraca; Decapoda; Portunidae. The transcript has 2 exons. The record is from RefSeq and is a predicted model, not a curated record.